CCUACGGGCGGCUGCAGUGGGGAAUAUUGGACAAUGGGGGGAACCCUGAUCCAGCCAUGCCGCGUGUGUGAAGAAGGCCCUCGGGUUGUAAAGCACUUUCAGUGAGGAAGAACGCCUGGUGGUUAAUACCCAUCAGGAAAGACAUCACUCACAGAAGAAGCACCGGUUAACUCCGUGCCAGCAGCCGCGGUAAUACGGAGGGUGCGAGCGUUAAUCGGAAUUACUGGGCGUAAAGCGCGCGUAGGUGGCUUGAUAAGCCGGUUGUGAAAGCCCCGGGCUCAACCUGGGAACGGCAUCCGGAACUGUCAAGCUAGAGUGCAGGAGAGGAAGGUAGAAUUCCCGGUGUAGCGGUGAAAUGCGUAGAGAUCGGGAGGAAUACCAGUGGCGAAGGCGGCCUUCUGGACUGACACUGACACUGAGGUGCGAAAGCGUGGGUAGCAAACAGGAUUAGAUACCCUAGUAGUC
Molecule: ribosomal RNA, 465 nt
Filed under: Vreelandella stevensii
Lineage: Bacteria; Pseudomonadati; Pseudomonadota; Gammaproteobacteria; Oceanospirillales; Halomonadaceae
Description: partial 16S ribosomal RNA
Rfam family: Bacterial small subunit ribosomal RNA
Source: RNAcentral